GGGUGACUGCGUACCUUUUGUAUAAUGGGUCAGCGACUUAUAUUCUGUAGCAAGGUUAACCGUAUAGGGGAGCCGCAGGGAAACCGAGUCUUAACUGGGCGUUAAGUUGCAGGGUAUAGACCCGAAACCCGGUGAUCUAGCCAUGGGCAGGUUGAAGGUUGGGUAACACUAACUGGAGGACCGAACCGACUAAUGUUGAAAAAUUAGCGGAUGACUUGUGGCUGGGGGUGAAAGGCCAAUCAAACCGGGAGAUAGCUGGUUCUCCCCGAAAGCUAUUUAGGUAGCGCCUCGUGAACUCAUCUUCGGGGGUAGAGCACUGUUUCGGCUAGGGGGUCAUCCCGACUUACCAACCCGAUGCAAACUACGAAUACCGAAGAAUGUUAUCACGGGAGACACACGGCGGGUGCUAACGUCCGUCGUGAAGAGGGAAACAACCCAGACCGCCAGCUAAGGUCCCAAAGUCAUGGUUAAGUGGGAAACGAUGUGGGAAGGCCCAGACAGCCAGGAUGUUGGCUUAGAAGCAGCCAUCAUUUAAAGAAAGCGUAAUAGCUCACUGGUCGAGUCGGCCUGCGCGGAAGAUGUAACGGGGCUAAACCAUGCACCGAAGCUGCGGCAGCGACACUAUGUGUUGUUGGGUAGGGGAGCGUUCUGUAAGCCGUUGAAGGUGGCCUGUGAGGGUUGCUGGAGGUAUCAGAAGUGCGAAUGCUGACAUAAGUAACGAUAAUGCGGGUGAAAAACCCGCACGCCGGAAGACCAAGGGUUCCUGUCCAACGUUAAUCGGGGCAGGGUGAGUCGACCCCUAAGGCGAGGCCGAAAGGCGUAGUCGAUGGGAAACAGGUUAAUAUUCCUGUACUCGGUGUUACUGCGAAGGGGGGACGGAGAAGGCUAUGUUGGCCGGGCGACGGUUGUCCCGGUUUAAGCAUGUAGGCGGAUGUUCCAGGUAAAUCCGGAACGUUAUCAACGCUGAGGUGUGAUGACGAGGCACUACGGUGCUGAAGUGACAAAUGCCCUGCUUCCAGGAAAAGCCUCUAAGCAUCAGGUAACAUCAAAUCGUACCCCAAACCGACACAGGUGGUCAGGUAGAGAAUACCAAGGCGCUUGAGAGAACUCGGGUGAAGGAACUAGGCAAAAUGGUGCCGUAACUUCGGGAGAAGGCACGCUGAUGGUA
This 1168-nucleotide ribosomal RNA is filed under the name Klebsiella oxytoca. RNAcentral describes it as "bacterial LSU rRNA". It matches the Rfam family "Bacterial large subunit ribosomal RNA", at positions 591 to 1759 of the family's 2925-position model. Lineage: Bacteria; Pseudomonadati; Pseudomonadota; Gammaproteobacteria; Enterobacterales; Enterobacteriaceae. The record is from RNAcentral. RNAcentral also lists the same sequence under 2 other names.